UUUAUAUAAAUAUUUUUUUUAAAUAGAAUUUGGCCUUAUUCAACCCAAACGCUCAGUCCAGGUCUAAUCCACUCACUACCCUGUCACUCAAAUGAGUGCUGGGCAGAACACAGACACAAACACAGCUCCAUCUGCUAAUUAAAAAUGGGCAUGAAACUGUUAACAGGCAUCUGUUGCAUUGUUUGAAGCUAAUGGGCAGAGACAAAGCUGAAAUGGCUCUUAUAAUGCAAACCCAGUGAUUUCACUCAUUUUCUAUUUGGUAUUUAUGUUAGUGGGGGGUUGGAAGCUGGGUGUUAAAACAGCUUAUUAUGGAGACUGAAAGAUAAGUAAAAUAUCUUUGAUAUUCUAAAACAAACCUUUCAAACUGAUUAUAGAAAGAUAUGUAGCAUUUUAUACUGGGGGAAGUAACAUUCCUGUGUUAAGAGUCCAAAUUAAACACUUUUUAUCUUAACUCAAAUAUCAUCUAAUCAUCUAUAAUACUGUGAAAGAGAAUAGUAACAAAUUCAAGCUAUGCUUUACAGCUCAUAUAGGGCUUUCACAAUUCAUCCCUUCAUCCGUUCAUUCAUCCAAUGUGCAGACAUUUAAUACAGGCCUUGGAGAUUUAAAAGGCGAAUAUGACUUGAUUUUUGCCUUAAGGAGCUCACAGCAACUCUGAAAGGUAGACACAGUAUUCUUACACUCUGUUAUAAGGAACUAAGGCCCUAGAAGGAUAACUGACUCCCCAAAGCCCACAAAGCUAGAACGGCAGAUGCCCAUUGCUCUUAAUUCAACAUGCUAUCUCCAUAAUGCCAAACAUACUAGUCCACCUCAUCUGCCUGGAAAAUGAAAAUAAUUUAAGGCUUUUUCAUGUCAAUACCAGCUCUGAUAAAGGAUCUAUUUUAAAGUACUGUAACCACCAUACAUCCUUGAUGGCCAUGCCUGCUUUGCAAGCUGGUAGCUCACAGGCCUCAUCUAGCCCACAGACAUGUCUGUUUGGCCCUUAUUGUAAUGGCCCUCACAUUGUUUUUUGUUUGUUUUUAUUAAUUGCCCAUAAAGUUGAGUUUUUAUGAGAAAUUUUCAGCAAAUCUUGAAAUAUGUGAUGAUUUUCCAGCAUGGCAAUGGUAAAGCUGCAAAUAAAAAGCAGCCACGCCCUAAGAGAGGGAAUACAUACAAUCCAGGGUCCACAUCACACCCUGCUGCUUCCCAUUCUGGGUCCACUCCCCUUACUCAUAGUUCCCACCAGAACCAUGUGAGUUUGCAACCCCUAACCUAGGUAGUAAGAAUCUACAAUCUUACCUUGAAUUUCCCUUUUUACAUUUCCGUGGCUACUUGCAUUUCUGAAGCUUAGUGAUAUCAUACUCCACAUUACUCGCCACCUAAAAUCUACUUCCCCAUCCUCACCCCCAACCCUCUUCUCAUGCUAUGAAAACUCUAUUCCUGCAAAAUAUUCUCAAGUAACAGUUCUAACACCCACAGGAGAGCUGAUGUCCAGAGCUGGGUGAAGACAGGCAGACCUAGACUCGAGCUGGCCUGAGGCCAGCAGCUCCCUGCUCAUCCACUUCAGGAUCUAUGGUUCUUUUCAGAUUCAGUUAUUGGAUUCAAUUCAAAAAUAUACUGCUAAAUUUUUCUUUGUCCUCAAAGACUAGACUUAUUUACCUCUAAAACAAUAUCUAAACCUAUUUCCCUCCAGCUUUUCUCAGUGGAUCCAAACAAUCUCGCUGCUGUUGCCAAGAGAACCUCCUCCCUGACUUGCUGCCUGCAGAACAGCUGGUGAAGCUCUUCAUUAAAGUACACAUUCUUCAGACAGAUCCAUAUUUGUACCCAAGACUCAGUUUCCCCAUGCCCAUCCUUUAUAUGUAGGAAGGCUUUUUUCAUUCACUAGAACAUUGAUUGAAGAGAUGAGUUUAAUCCUUUAUGAUCAAGUAUUAAAUUCUACUUUUUCUGAACCAGAGUCGUUAUCAAUGCUAUUGCUUAGAUGGGAAAUCUACUGGCAGCUUUGAAAGAACACAAUGACAUUAAAAUAAGGCUUUAUGUACAAAAUGUUCAAUAUGAACUUGCAUGUUCCUUGCAUAUUUUUGUUUGAGAAGU
This 2067-nucleotide long non-coding RNA is filed under the name Homo sapiens (human). RNAcentral's name for it is "HSALNT0221293". The record is from RNAcentral. Lineage: Eukaryota; Metazoa; Chordata; Mammalia; Primates; Hominidae.